RNAcentral lists this ribosomal RNA (486 nucleotides) under uncultured Devosia sp. Its description in RNAcentral is "bacterial SSU rRNA". It matches the Rfam family "Bacterial small subunit ribosomal RNA", at positions 896 to 1382 of the family's 1533-position model. Lineage: Bacteria; Pseudomonadati; Pseudomonadota; Alphaproteobacteria; Hyphomicrobiales; Devosiaceae. The record is from RNAcentral.
GAAACUUAAAGGAAUUGACGGGGGCCCGCACAAGCAGCGGAGCGUGUGGUUUAAUUCGAAGCAACGCGAAGAACCUUACCAGCCCUUGACAUGGCAGGACGAUUUCCGGAGACGGAUCUCUUCACUUCGGUGACCUGCACACAGGUGCUGCAUGGCUGUCGUCAGCUCGUGUCGUGAGAUGUUGGGUUAAGUCCCGCAACGAGCGCAACCCUCGCCUUUAGUUGCCAUCAUUUAGUUGGGCACUCUAGAGGGACUGCCGGUGAUAAGCCGGAGGAAGGUGGGGAUGACGUCAAGUCUUCAUGGCCCUUACGGGCUGGGCUACACACGUGCUACAAUGGCGGUGACAGAGGGCAGCUAGUCCGCGAGGACAUGCUAAUCCCUAAAAGCCGUCUCAAUUCGGAUUGCACUCUGCAACUCGAGUGCAUGAAGUUGGAAUCGCUAGUAAUCGCAGAUCAGCACGCUGCGGUGAAUACGUUCCCGGGCCUU